This 190-nucleotide non-coding RNA is filed under the name Porphyromonas cangingivalis. Lineage: Bacteria; Pseudomonadati; Bacteroidota; Bacteroidia; Bacteroidales; Porphyromonadaceae. The record is from RNAcentral.
AAUUUUGAGAGUGCUAUCAGUCUCUCAUGAGAAUGGGAUUAAAAGGGAAGUCGGUGCAAAGCCGACACUGUCCCCGUAGCCGUAAGAUCAUCAUGGUGCUGUACGAUGCCACUGUCUUUGGAUAAAAGAGGAUGGGAAGGCGCAGUACUUCGGAUCGAGUCGGAAGACCUGCCUCUUUAGGAUAGCCGAU